This 370-nucleotide long non-coding RNA is filed under the name Ananas comosus (pineapple). RNAcentral describes it as "long non-coding RNA (ACOM_LNC034108)". Lineage: Eukaryota; Viridiplantae; Streptophyta; Magnoliopsida; Poales; Bromeliaceae. The record is from RNAcentral.
AGACAGGCGCGACAUUUGUUCAGGUGGGUACUUCGAUCCGACGUCGGUACAGUGGUGCACGCUCGGUGAUGGUUUCUUACCCUUACUCUUCUGUUGUUAUUAUUGCAUAGUAUACAUUGAGCCUUGCACCCAUGUUAUUCCAUUAUACUCUACUCGUUGUGUGCAUGCUUAGUAUCCUGAGUAGGAGUAGAGUGGUUCUAUCUAUGUGCGUAUCUAUUGACCUGGUUGGUCGAUUCUUGUACUUCAUAUCAGUGACUUGGUUGGUUGAUUCUUGUACUUCGUAUAAGUGACCUGGUUGGUUGGGUUUCAUACUUCGUAUCAGUGACCUGGUUGGUCUGUUCUUGUAUCUCAUAUUUGUGACACAUUCGGU